This 453-nucleotide long non-coding RNA is filed under the name Monodelphis domestica (gray short-tailed opossum). Its description in RNAcentral is "lncRNA (ENSMODG00000047928.1)". Lineage: Eukaryota; Metazoa; Chordata; Mammalia; Didelphimorphia; Didelphidae. The record is from RNAcentral.
UUGUUAGAAUUCUGUAAUAUGACCUGGAUAUCUUGGGUAACCCUAUAAGGCAUGACUCAUAGUUUCAACGAGCUACACAAGCCCCUCUGCCACAAGAAGGUAGUGAUCCAGAAGCAGACACUGGCUGGGGGUUCUUGCUGAGCCUGCUGCUGCAAGUCUGCCACUAUGAGUCUGCCACCACUUCUGGAGCACACUGGCUGGAGGUUCUUGCGAGUCACUUUCUCCACGGAGGUAGUCUAGACCAAGGGUGUCCAAAUACAAUCCAUGAAGAAAAUAUUAACUGGCAAGGACAACAUUAAGUCUUCAGUGAGCUUCUGGCUCCUACCCACCUCUGCAUUUCUCUUUUCUGCUUAUGCCUAGUGGAUCCUAUUCCCUGUGCUGCUGCAUGGGGCCAUAGCAAGCUGACCUGAAAAGUUACUACAAAAAAUAAAAUUAAAAAUCCCCAAUUAAACA